AAGUGGUAAUCAUAGAGAGAGACAGGGAACAAGCAGAGCAUGGAUUGAGUUUACUAAAACAUUAAACGACUCUGUUUUGUCUCUACCCAUGCACUGCCUCUUCCCUGGCUCCCUCUUUUCUCUCUCUGU
Non-coding RNA from Arabidopsis thaliana x Arabidopsis arenosa, 129 nucleotides. The record is from the annotation of a GenBank genome assembly. Lineage: Eukaryota; Viridiplantae; Streptophyta; Magnoliopsida; Brassicales; Brassicaceae.